RNAcentral lists this ribosomal RNA (573 nucleotides) under Amanita sp. G1052. RNAcentral's name for it is "eukaryotic LSU rRNA". It matches the Rfam family "Eukaryotic large subunit ribosomal RNA", at positions 118 to 665 of the family's 3401-position model. Lineage: Eukaryota; Fungi; Basidiomycota; Agaricomycetes; Agaricales; Amanitaceae. The record is from RNAcentral.
GUCUUUUUUUUCUUCUUUGGCUGUCCGAGUUGUAAUCUAGAGAAGUGCUUACCUGCGCUGGACCAUGUAUAAGUCUCCUGGAAUGGAGCGUCACAGAGGGUGAGAAUCCCGUCCUUGACAUGGGCUGCCAGUGUGUUGUGGUGCGCUCUCAAAGAGUCGAGUUGUUUGGGAAUGCAGCUCUAAAUGGGUGGUAAACUCCAUCUAAAGCUAAAUAUUGGCGAGAGACCGAUAGCGAACAAGUACCGUGAGGGAAAGAUGAAAAGGACUUUGGAAAGAGAGUUAAACAGUAUGUGAAAUUGUUGAAAGGGAAACGCUUGAAGUCAGUUAUGUUGGUUAGGGAUCAACCUAGCUAUUUUUUGCUGGGUGAAUUUCCUAGUCUGACAGGCCAACAUCAGUUCUGACUGCUGGAAAAGAGCAGAGGGAAUGUGGCACCUUUGGGUGUGUUAUAGCCUUUUGUCAUAUGUGGCAGUUGGGACUGAGGGAUGCAGCAUGCCGUGAGGCUGGGUUUCGACCAUGUUCAUGCUUAGGAUGUUGGCUUUUAAUGGCUUCAAUCGACCCGUCUUGAAACACGGA